CUGUCUCCUUUUGUGACCAGGUACUUUGAAAAAUGUUUAAUUCAAUGAUAAAGAGCCUGCCCAAGAGUUUAAAAUACAAUAAAAACAAGAACGUACAUCAAUUGUUGAUCCCAUCUGAUGGCAGUCUGUCCUUGAGCAUAUAGCUAAAAGGAUUUUCUCUGUAUCAAGUGGCACAACUACGGUGGACAUUCUGGAAACCAGGUGUCUGUUUGUAUGAAAAUGGUUGGAAGAAACAGAUCAGCACCCACAUCAGCGUAAUGUCUUCAUGGUCUUAUGCUGCAAUAAAGGGAAUGAUGCAUGCUUCACUGCAGAAAAACUAUAACUGCUGAGAAGUUCUUAUAAACCAAUGAUCUCAAAAUUAUUUUGGUAAUUUUUUUCUUCCAAAUAAAAUUAGAUAAACUCUACAUCCCUUCACUGCGCUCAAUACCCACCUUCUGUAAAAAGCAUGAAGAAAACUUCAAUGGACCAACAAGGCUGUAACACUGGGGGAAAUGAUUGAUUUCACUUAAACACCACCACCAACAAAAAAUGUUUAAAAACAGUUUCACGGCGCAACUUUCUCCUUGCUUUUUUUUCUUAUAGUUGGAAUGUAUUUUAUCGUCUGUCAGUUUUGCCCCUAUGAUAUGUCCUCUUAAAUUGGAUCUGUAAGCCCUUCAUAAAGUUUAAUAAAUCUUCAGCAUUUCACCCUAA
Homo sapiens (human) is the source of this 690-nucleotide long non-coding RNA. RefSeq lists it as uncharacterized. The record is from RefSeq and is a predicted model, not a curated record. NCBI's taxonomy places the organism in Eukaryota, Metazoa, Chordata, Mammalia, Primates, Hominidae. The transcript has 2 exons.